AUGAUCAUACUUCACAGGAUCAAUUCUAUAGUGUGAUUGCCGAGUCCCUCGUCAAGAAACUCGGAUAAAAUUCAACCACGAUGAGGAUAUUCAGUGUGAUCCUCUGAGCGGGAAGCGGUUCUUACGUUUAUUCGUAAGAACAUUGAUGACCGUUCUGGCAUGGGAAACUAUGUCCAGAGGAGGUUCACACAGGCUGAGUGGU
Molecule: small nucleolar RNA, 202 nt
Filed under: Penaeus japonicus
Lineage: Eukaryota; Metazoa; Arthropoda; Malacostraca; Decapoda; Penaeidae
Description: small nucleolar RNA U3
Rfam family: Small nucleolar RNA U3
About the family: Small nucleolar RNAs (snoRNAs) are involved in the processing and modification of rRNA in the nucleolus. There are two main classes of snoRNAs: the box C/D class, and the box H/ACA class. U3 snoRNA is a member of the box C/D class.
Source: RNAcentral